Molecule: ribosomal RNA, 1524 nt
Filed under: Tulostoma niveum
Lineage: Eukaryota; Fungi; Basidiomycota; Agaricomycetes; Agaricales; Agaricaceae
Description: eukaryotic LSU rRNA
Rfam family: Eukaryotic large subunit ribosomal RNA (bases 574-1524)
Source: RNAcentral
GAUGGGUUGUUGCUGGCUUCUAGGAGCAUGUGCACGCCUGUCAUCUUUAUCCAUCCACCUGUGCACCUUUUGUAGACUUGGAAGUGAUGAGCGUGAAAUUAGUAGCGCGAGUUUCUCUAGGUCUAUGUUUUUCAUAUACCACAUACAAUGUAUCAGAACGUUUCAUUGGGCCUCUGUGCCUAUAAAACACUAUACAACUUUCAGCAACGGAUCUCUUGGCUCUCGCAUCGAUGAAGAACGCAGCGAAAUGCGAUAAGUAAUGUGAAUUGCAGAAUUCAGUGAAUCAUCGAAUCUUUGAACGCACCUUGCGCUCCUUGGCAUUCCGAGGAGCAUGCCUGUUUGAGUGUCAUUUAAUUCUCAAUCCCCUCCAGCUUUUGUGGUUGGUUAGGUGGAUUGGAUGUGGGGGUAUAUACUUGUGCGGGCCUCUAAAGAGGUCAGCUCCCCUGAAAAGCAUUAGCGGAACCGUUUGCGGAACCCGUCACUGGUGUGAUAAUUAUCUAUGCCAAAGACGACUGCUCUCAUAGUUCAGCUUCUAAUCGUCCUUUCACUUGGACAAUAAUAUAACUGAAUGCUUGACCUCAAAUCAGGUAGGACUACCCGCUGAACUUAAGCAUAUCAAUAAGCGGAGGAAAAGAAACUAACAAGGAUUCCCCUAGUAACUGCGAGUGAAGCGGGAAAAGCUCAAAUUUAAAAUCUGGCGGUAUUGGCCGUCCGAGUUGUAAUCUAGAGAAGCGUCACCCGCGCUGGACCGUGUACAAGUCUCCUGGGAUGGAGCGUCAUAGAGGGUGAGAAUCCCGUCUCUGACACGGACUACCAGGGCUUUGUGGUGCGCUCUCAAAGAGUCGAGUUGUUUGGGAAUGCAGCUCUAAAUGGGUGGUAAAUUCCAUCUAAAGCUAAAUAUUGGCGAGAGACCGAUAGCGAACAAGUACCGUGAGGGAAAGAUGAAAAGAACUUUGGAAAGAGAGUUAAACAGUACGUGAAAUUGCUGAAAGGGAAACGCUUGAAGUCAGUCGCGUUAGUCAGGGAUCAGCCUCGCUCUUGCGUGGUGUACUUCCUGGUUGACGGGUCAGCAUCAAUUUUGACCGCUGGAAAAGGAUUUGGGGAAUGUGGCAUCUUCGGAUGUGUUAUAGCCUCUUGUCGCAUACAGCGGUUGGGAUUGAGGAACUCAGCACGCCGCAAGGCCGGGUUUCGACCACGUUCGUGCUUAGGAUGCUGGCAUAAUGGCUUUAAUCGACCCGUCUUGAAACACGGACCAAGGAGUCUAACAUGCCUGCGAGUGUUUGGGUGGAAAACCCGAGCGCGUAAUGAAAGUGAAAGUUGAGAUCCCUGUCGUGGGGAGCAUCGACGCCCGGACCAGAACUUUUGGGACGGAUCUGCGGUAGAGCAUGUAUGUUGGGACCCGAAAGAUGGUGAACUAUGCCUGAAUAGGGUGAAGCCAGAGGAAACUCUGGUGGAGGCUCGUAGCGAUUCUGACGUGCAAAUCGAUCGUCAAAUUUGGGUAUAGGGGCGAAAGACUAAUCGAAC